RNAcentral lists this ribosomal RNA (301 nucleotides) under uncultured bacterium. RNAcentral's name for it is "partial 16S ribosomal RNA". It matches the Rfam family "Bacterial small subunit ribosomal RNA", at positions 509 to 807 of the family's 1533-position model. The record is from RNAcentral.
CAGCCGCCACGGGAAUACGAAGGGUGCAAGCGUUAAUCGGAAUUACUGGGCGUAAAGCGUGCGUAGGCGGUGAGUUAAGUCUGCUGUGAAAUCCCCGGGCUCAACCUGGGAAUGGCAGUGGAUACUGGCUCGCUAGAGUGUGUCAGAGGAUGGUGGAAUUCCCGGUGUAGCGGCGAAAUGCGUAGAGAUCGGGAGGAACAUCAGUGGCGAAGGCGGCCAUCUGGGACAACACUGACGCUGAGGCACGAAAGCGUGGGGAGCAAACAGGAUUAGAGACCCCCGUAGUCCCUGUCUCUUAUAC